RNAcentral lists this ribosomal RNA (258 nucleotides) under uncultured prokaryote. Its description in RNAcentral is "partial 16S ribosomal RNA". It matches the Rfam family "Bacterial small subunit ribosomal RNA", at positions 521 to 777 of the family's 1533-position model. The record is from RNAcentral.
UAAUACGGGGGGAGCAAGCGUUGUUCGGAUUUACUGGGCGUAAAGGGCGCGUAGGCGGCCUCCGCAAGUCAAUUGUGAAAUCUCCGGGCUUAACUCGGAAAGGUCAACUGAUACUGCGGGGCUAGAGUGCGGAAGGGGCAACUGGAAUUCUCGGUGUAGCGGUGAAAUGCGUAGAUAUCGAGAGGAACACCUGCGGCGAAGGCGGGUUGCUGGGCCGACACUGACGCUGAGGCGCGAAAGCUAGGGGAGCGAACGGGA